AAAAUAGGUUAAGCGUGAGCCUUGAACCCAGAAAGUGAGGGGAGGAAAGUCCGAGCACCACUCUUAGUUCGAACAGUUCCUAACAGGAACCAAGAGUAAUCUUAGGGAAAGUGCCACAGAGACAAUACUAACCAUGAUAAGGUAACCCUUCGGCUGAUUUGCUUUGCAAAUUUGCUCAGGGUGACCACUUCGUGGCCAAAGGUGAAAAGUUAUAAGAAGUGAUAUGCGGAGAGUUAGGCCAAACCUGAUAAUCCGCGCUUGCUACUUGUAAGGCCUCCGCGUGAGCGGAGUGUCCCGGUAAACCCUGUUCGGUGCAAGUUGGGUGGGUCAGGAUCUAUCAAUAUUUUGAGCUAAGAAUAGAUAGAUUCGGAUCCCAACGCAUGAAUCAGUUGGCAACAACUGAUCUAGAUAGAUGAUUGCCCCCCUCACUAAUUUCCGUGCGGAAUAAUUAACAGGUUUGUAGU
Molecule: RNase P RNA, 464 nt
Filed under: Patescibacteria group bacterium
Lineage: Bacteria
Description: RNase P RNA component class A
Rfam family: Bacterial RNase P class A
About the family: Ribonuclease P (RNase P) is a ubiquitous endoribonuclease, found in archaea, bacteria and eukarya as well as chloroplasts and mitochondria.
Source: RNAcentral